Molecule: ribosomal RNA, 497 nt
Filed under: uncultured bacterium
Lineage: Bacteria
Description: partial 16S ribosomal RNA
Rfam family: Bacterial small subunit ribosomal RNA
Source: RNAcentral
GAUGAACGCUGGCGGCGUGCCUAAUACAUGCAAGUCGAGCGAACGGACGAGAAGCUUGCUUCUCUGAUGUUAGCGGCGGACGGGUGAGUAACACGUGGAUAACCUACCUAUAAGACUGGGAUAACUUCGGGAAACCGGAGCUAAUACCGGAUGAUAUUUUGAACCGCAUGGUUCAAAAGUGAAAGACGGUCUUGCUGUCACUUAUAGAUGGAUCCGCGCUGCAUUAGCUAGUUGGUAAGGUAACGGCUUACCAAGGCAACGAUGCAUAGCCGACCUGAGAGGGUGAUCGGCCACACUGAAACUGAGACACGGUCCAGACUCCUACGGGAGGCAGCAGUAGGGAAUCUUCCGCAAUGGGCGAAAGCCUGACGGAGCAACGCCGCGUGAGUGAUGAAGGUCUUCGGAUCGUAAAACUCUGUUAUUAGGGAAGAACAUAUGUGUAAGUAACUGUGCACAUCUUGACGGUACCUAAUCAGAAAGCCACGGCUAACUACGUG